GGGAAAGGUGAAAAGCCCCCCGACAAGGGGAGUGAAAGAGUACCUGAAACCGAUUGCCUACAAACAGUGGAAGCCCGCAAGGGUGACCACGUACCUUUUGUAUAAUGGGUCAGUGACUUAAUGUAUCGAGCAAGCUUAAGCCGUUAGGUGGAGGCGAAGCGAAAGCGAGUGUGAAUAGCGCGACUGAGUUCGAUGCAUUAGACCCGAACCCCGGCGAUCUAGGCAUGGCCAGGUUGAAG
RNAcentral lists this ribosomal RNA (239 nucleotides) under uncultured alveolate. Its description in RNAcentral is "partial Bacterial large subunit ribosomal RNA". It matches the Rfam family "Bacterial large subunit ribosomal RNA", at positions 507 to 750 of the family's 2925-position model. The record is from RNAcentral.